Bombus pascuorum is the source of this 3320-nucleotide long non-coding RNA. RefSeq lists it as uncharacterized. NCBI's taxonomy places the organism in Eukaryota, Metazoa, Arthropoda, Insecta, Hymenoptera, Apidae. The transcript has 3 exons. The record is from RefSeq and is a predicted model, not a curated record.
AUAACGUGCGGAGAUGUAUGCACGUGCACGGCUAUUAAGUCGCCAUCAGUGCCUGAAAGAAUUCAGCAGGGGUGCGUUGCUCGUCGAAGAAAGUCUACUGCGGCUGACCGCUCGUUAAAAAGUUUAACCGGCCACUUAUUAGCGAGACAGAGAGGGGACGAGUGCUGGAACUUGGGGGGGGGGGGAAGAGAAGUAAUACAUAUAUAGGGCGAGGAAAUGUAGCUUCCAGCCUAACGUUUCGUUCUUACGAUCUCUCCCUUUUUCUCUUCUACUUCCCUCGUUGCUGUUCCACGGGUUAAUUCUUGACGCGCACGCUUUCGAUAACAAGGUUGUUUCAAGUGGCACUCCCGAGCUUGCUCUGGGGUCUGCUUGCCCCGAGCAACUAUAUCGAGUGUUCCGCUGUUUAACUUAAUUGCCGCUAGCUGCUACUUCGCAAUUGCUCUCUUUUCAUACAGAGAGCAGAUUCGUCGCUUAGUUAGUUAGUGUGCAAAGUGGAAUUUGAUUGCGUGUUUUUUUUCAGUGCCUUUGAAUGCCUAGAGACUGUGAUUGGAUCAUGUUAUAGAUUCUGACUUGAAUUGUAUGAGAUUCCCUUUUGGUUAUGUAAGGGAAUUAAGUAACAGUUUGGCAAUUGCAAUCUUUUCCAAUGGAGAAAAAGGAGAGAAAGUGAGAUCACAGGCCGUCUAUCCCGAGAAUCUCUCCCGACGGAAGUUACUGUGGAAUCCGUCGGUGGUAAUUCGAGGUGAACGAAACUGAAGUGGGCUCGAAUUACUGGGGAACUAUUAAUGAAACAGGGAUUAAAAGAAAGAAGCUGGCCAACGCAAUGGGGAGAACAGAUGGGUUCGUCGAGCGUUCGUGAAUGGAAAGAAUCGCUGCUUUUUCGCUAUUCACGCGGUGUAGUUGUCUGUGACGAUGGUUUUAAAGGUUCCUGAUCGCGGUACGAUGUUCCUCGGUAAAGGUACACUUGUGAGAAAUUUGUCUGAGGGUAACUGCAUGCUUUUUUCAAGGUAGCCGCCUUUGAUUCGGAUAUUUGAGAUGAUACUUAUUUAAAAUGGACAUAAUACUAAUAUCAAAAAGAAUAUCAAAGGAACGUUUAACAAAUUCGUUAAUAUUAUUAAGAAUAUUAAAGAAGAACUUAUUCAACAUUUGCGUAAUAUUGAUAAAUAUUUUUUCAAUAUUAUAGAAACUAUACGUAUAAAAAGGAAUUCAAAGAGAAAGGGAGGAGAAUGUUGGGAAAGUCUGUCGAAGGUCGUCAAUAAUAGUUUCCAAUACUUGCCCAGCAUUUUGCGGUAACGAGACCCGUAACGACCGUCGUGCAAGAAAUAAACGAGUCGGAUUAUAGUUUUCCGUUUCGCUUAAACUCAAUCGUUCCUGCAGAAAUACAAGUUUCGAGCGGUUCGAUAACGACGGAUCGAAGAAAUUUUUAAAGAGCCAAGAUUGACCGCGUUGAAGUCACCGCGAGUCUCUCCAAUCCUCUUCAACUAGACGUCUGUACACUGUACUGUACACGUGUACAAGCAAAUUGAAGUACGGUAGAACGUUCGACGAUAAUUUGCUCCAAUAAAUUUGAAAUAACGCGUUUGAUAUGUUAUAUAUCUGAAAUGAAUAUAAGAGUAUCUGAAUUUGCUAUUGAUUUACUAUUGCUAUUUUAUUAUAUUAGCAAAUUUUAUAUAUAAUAUAUUAUAUUAUAUUAUGUAAAAAUUUUAGUCUUUUCUUUAAACAUUCAUGUAGAAUUAUAUACUUUUAAUGCAUAUAAUUUACCGUCUUUUUGUAGAAUUGUUUUCUUGGUAUUAAUCUAUCUGAAAUGCUAACUUCAUGAUGGAGUGCUAACGACGAAUGAAUUUACGUAUAAAUAAAGGAAAAUUGAAAAGAAGACUAAAACUUUUACAUACGUUUAAUAAUAAAAAUGAUCAAUUUACGAAUUAUAAAAUUAUUGCUACUUUAUUAUAUUUGCCAGGAUGUAUCAGAGAUUACGUAUAGAACAAUUUCUGUUUAUUUUAUAAAUAAUUGCAAAUAGACAGAUAAAGUUUCCUUUAGAUGAUUCGGCUCUUCAGUCGAAUAAUUAAUCGUUGCAUGAUGGGAUGUUUAUAUCGAAAGGUGAAACGAAAAGGAGUUUAAUUAGUUAAUGAUUUCCAAAGUACUGUAUUACUACAGAAAAAUUCCUUAAUAUAUAAUCGUUCCUUAUAAGUAUUUCUAAUUCUUCCUAUUGUACAAAUGACUUACCAAGUAUCUGGUAUUUUCAUCCUUUAUAUCUACUAUGUUAUUAGAAUUAUAUUAUAUAGUACAUUUUUGUCAGUAGAAUAAAAAUUCACGAUUAAUUGUUGUUUUUCAUUUCAGCACUCUAAUGGAAAAUAUCAUUUGGUGGCAGUCUAAUAAUACAAUGACAAAUAAGUCGCGCUUCUGAACAAAUGAAAAGCGGAAGAACCGACCAAUAAUUCACGGGGUGGUAUCGAUCGAGCACGUGACUCUCCGGCUCGAAUUCCAACGCUGUUGAAAAUGAUAUUAAUGACGAUCGACGCCGUCAGGGGAAAGGAAUGCAAUAUCGCUGCCGCUGGUGUUAAUGUAGCCGCUGGCUGCGACCAAUAGAAAAUUCCACGCUGAAGAAGCUUUUACCCGCGUGGUAUCAUGAACACACCAUUGUCGUCGGAAGGAUUACCAGACAGUUAUUAAAAUAUCAUUCUUCCACGGUGACCCCACUGCCUCCAACAGGGAAAUCCACCCUCACGCGCUAGACGUCAUGGGGGCGACUUUACGUUGGCUGUCUUUCUGCCUCCUUUUCAACGUAGCUGGCGUAACAAUAUGCGUGUUUCACGUGUCCUUGAAACCAAGGGAGGUCUCCGAUGAUCGCGUGGGUGUAUUCGCAAGUCACGUUUCACAAGGAGUAAAAGGAAAGGGUCGUUUAUAAUGCGAGUAAUUGAAAGUUAGUCCAUCCUUAUUCCAAUAGCAACUUUAUAGUAGCUACAGAAAAUACCUAUUCGUGUAGCAUUGUAUCUAUUAUAGCAUUUAUACGUUGUAAUUACUAGGCCGUGGAUUUUUAAGCAAACAUGUAUUUUUAUGGAGAUAAUUAGAGAUAUAAAACCUAGAAUACAUAGAGAUUUGUUACGAGAUGCGUAAAUUUUAUAAUGACUAUUGUACAUCAGAUAUUUUUUAUAUUCAUAUUCAUUGGCUGGAUUUAUAAAUUCUUCAUAUACGUAUAAAAAUCCGCAGUCUGGUAAUUAAUUAGGUUCCAUUAAUUAGGUCCAAUGUUUCAUUGGAAAAUAAAGGUAUGUACAAAUACACUUUGUGGCUACUGUAUAUUAGUCAUAUAGAGAAAUUGAAUACAA